GAAAAAUAAACCAGAAACAAAGGCUGCUAUUUAGAGAGUUAAAAUCCAGAAAAUGUUACUGUUUCAUUGAAUGAUCUUCCGAGAGUUCUUGUGGAAUCUACUCCCUAACAAAAUUUCGAACAGUUGAUAGUUAAAAUAAGCUGAAAUAUGGGUGAUAUACAAGUCUUGGAAUCAUUUUGGUCAAAAACUGAUUUUGUAUUUUGAGUGACAUUGUGUAAAUUCAAAAUUGUUUAAAGUGGUGUCUUUCGACCAUUCCAGGGUUGGUUUGCUGAUGAAUAUUGCUCCUGUUGCUGCUCUUAUGUUGAUUCCUCAUUUCUCUGCUUUCUUUUUCUAUUUUCAGGUAUAUUCCGGUCCUUGGAGUCCAUUUAAGCAUGUAUAUUGAAGUAAUGACUUGAGGAGCA
This 401-nucleotide long non-coding RNA is filed under the name Nicotiana benthamiana. RNAcentral's name for it is "long non-coding RNA (NBEN_LNC024802)". Lineage: Eukaryota; Viridiplantae; Streptophyta; Magnoliopsida; Solanales; Solanaceae. The record is from RNAcentral.